CCGGGUGGGUCUAAGGCUGAUUGAUCCGCCGUGCGCACGCCAGCGCGUUCCUCUGUGGCAGGAGAGGGGGCCUGCGUGUGACGGAGCGUGCGUGGGAGGACGCGCGUGUGUGUGCGCCCUGAUCACGGUGGUCUGUGGGUGGGGCGGAUCGUGCGCGCGCGCCCGACCUGUGCCCCCCCAAGCCAGCAGCCUUGCCUUACUGAUACCAGUACCUGCCUGCUGCUACCAUCCAGUCAACAUGUGGCAUCUUCCAGGCCACUGUGAUGAGUCAGGGAUGAGCAUCUGACUCUGGUUGGUCCAAUCAGCUUGUCCAGGGACUUUGGCUGGGAAGAUUGGAAAGGAGGCCAGCUUUUUGGGCUGGGAUUGCUAAGAGAUGUGAUGAUGAAGUGUGUGGCCUACCUGGCAUCUGGCCCCAGCUUCAGCUCCGUUUACUAUCUUGCUCCCCACGCUCACUAGCCUGCAUUGAGGCCUCCUCUGUGCCCCCCAACCCCUGAGUUUCUCAUCCCCAGAGAACCCAGCAUACACAGAAUUGAAGGAUUUUCUUACUCAUCUUCCUGUGCUCACCCUGAGGACUGGGCCUUUGUCAUCAGCUAAUCACUGUCCCCUCAAGCACUCACAGUGGAAAAUAGAGUGCUAUGCAGCCCUGCAGCUUGCCAUCUGGAACAGUUCACAGGCAAGGCCUCCCACACUGAACCCUGCUCCAGCCAAAUAGUGCCAGCAACACAGAGCUACUUGUUACAUCAGCUCAGACCAAGCCACAUCCACAGGAGCAGUUGGUGAUUCCACAGAACCACAAGAGACUUGACCUCCUGGAAAUGAAUUAACCAAGAUUAAUGAAAAAGAUUAAGGUCAUGUGCCCUGUAAAAGUGUCCCUCACUGGAUAAACUGUGACAAGAUGUGAACAGGACACUGCUGCUGACCCCCUGGUGACAGCUAGCCAGUGGUUGAGAGACCGCAAGAUGAUUCCUCGUCUUUCACUUCCCUCCGUCCCAGGUCUGAACUCGGACCAGCAGGAGCCUUUGGGGGACCACUGAUUGCCUUUUACACUCACACAGAUUUCUCUUGUCCAUCACUCACUCACAGUCCAGUAAGGAUCCUGCUGUCUAUUCUGCGAGGACAUGUUGAAUGCAGGGACAGCCAUUUAGAAGACUGUCCUCGAGGGUGGCAGCAGCCUCUCAGGACAGGGAAAGCCAAGGUGACCACUAAGCCCGUCUGGGGUGGAGGGUGGCAGGCGGGGGUGGAGAGGAUUCGAGGCCACCUGAAGGAACCUGUGCUCGGAGACACUUACUCAUUGUGCGGGUCUGACACCUCCCAGCUCAUCCUGUCCCCAUCUUCCCCUUGCGUCACGUCCCCACCCAGCAGGAGGAGAUCUGAGGCUUUGCGCGACGCUGGCCCCGCGGAGUGUGGGGGGCUUUUCCUCUCAACCACUAGUGCCCCACAAGCGUGGGUGAACAGUCCUCCCUGGCUACUGUGAGACGCUGGGCAGGCCACUUCGCUUCUCUGGGCCUCGGUUUUCCUGCUUGUCAAAUGGGGCUGAUGCCGGCGUGGGCUUCUUCGGGCGGUCGCGAGGGUUGACCCCUGGAGUCAGCAAGCCAGCCGCGAACACGCUCCCAGGUGGAGG
Cercocebus atys (sooty mangabey) is the source of this 1621-nucleotide long non-coding RNA. RefSeq lists it as uncharacterized. Lineage: Eukaryota; Metazoa; Chordata; Mammalia; Primates; Cercopithecidae. The record is from RefSeq and is a predicted model, not a curated record. The transcript has 3 exons.